RNAcentral lists this ribosomal RNA (1428 nucleotides) under metagenome. RNAcentral's name for it is "bacterial SSU rRNA". It matches the Rfam family "Archaeal small subunit ribosomal RNA". The record is from RNAcentral.
UCCCGUUGAUCCUGCGGGAGAUCGCUGCUAUUAGGAUUCGACUAAGCCAUGCAAGUCAGGGAGCAAUCCCGGCAAAAUGCUCAGUAACACGUUGAUAAUCUGCCCUUAGGUCUAGGAUAACCCUGGGAAACUGGGAAUAAUACUGGAUAUGAGAAAAACACUGGAAGGUGUUUUCUUUGAAAGGUAACGCCUAAGGAUGAGUCAGCGGCCGAUUAGGCUGUUGGUGGGGUAAAGGCCCACCAAACCAUGGAUCGGUAGGGGCCUUGAGAGAGGGAGCCCCGAGAAGGGCACUGAGAUACUGGCCCUAGCCCUACGGGGUGCAGCAGGCGCGAAACCUUUACAAUGCACGAAAGUGUGAUAAGGGAAUCCUAAGUGCUUAUGUUUUACAUAGGCUUUUGCCAAGGGUAAAUACCUUGGAGAAUAAGUGGUGGGUAAGACUGGUGCCAGCCGCCGCGGUAACACCAGCGCCACAAGUGGUGGUCACUAUUAUUGGGCCUAAAGCGUUCGUAGCUGGUUUGAUAAAUCUUUUGUGAAAUAGUUGAGCUUAACUCAAUUAAUUGCUGGAGAGACUGUCAAACUUGGGACCGGGAGGAGUCAGAAGUAUUUCUAGGGGAGCGGUAAAAUGCUAUAAUCCUAGAAGGACUACCUGUGGCGAAGGCGUCUGACUAGAACGGAUCCGACAGUGAGGGACGAAAGCCAGGGGAGCAAACCGGAUUAGAUACCCGAGUAGUCCUGGCCGUAAACGCUGUGAGUUAGGUGUUACAUAUUCUACGGGAAUAUGUAGUGUCGAAGCGAAGGCAUUAAACUCACCGCCUGGGAAGUACGGUCGCAAGACUGAAACUUAAAGGAAUUGGCGGGGGAGCACUACAAGGGGUGCGGCGUGCGGUUUAAUCUAAUUCUACGCAGAGAAUCUCACCAAGGGCGACGGCAGGAUGAAAGUCAGUCUAACGGGCUUACUUGACGAGCCGAGAGGUAGUGCAUGGCCGCCGUCAGCUCGUGCUGUGAAGUGUCCUGUUAAGUCAGGCAACGAGCGAGACCUGUAUCCACAAUUGCUAACAGUUCCUUUGGAAGACUGAGCACAUUGUAGAGACUGCCUUGGAAACAAGGAGGAAGGUGCAGGCUACGGUAGGUCUGUAUGCUCCGAAUCCUUUGGGCUACACGCGCGCAACAAUGAUAAGGACAAUGGGCUACAACUCCGAAAGGAGAAGUUAAUCCUCUAAACCUUACCCAAGUACAGAUUGAGGAUUGUAAUUCAUCCUCAUGACGAUGGAAUCCCUAGUAAUCGGACGUCAUCAUCGUCCGGUGAAUGUGUCCCUGCUCCUUGCACACACCGCCCGUCAAACCACUCGAGCAGGGUUUGGGUGAGCAUUAGCCUUUUAGUUAAUGCGAAUCUAAGCUCAGUGAGAUGGGUUAAGUCGUCACAAGGUA